RNAcentral lists this ribosomal RNA (250 nucleotides) under uncultured bacterium. RNAcentral describes it as "partial 16S ribosomal RNA". It matches the Rfam family "Bacterial small subunit ribosomal RNA", at positions 524 to 773 of the family's 1533-position model. The record is from RNAcentral.
AACGUAGGUGGCGAGCGUUAUCCGGAUUCAUUGGGCGUAAAGAGCUUGUAGGCGGCAUCAUAAGUUGGACGUGAAAACUCCGGGCUUAACUUGGAGAGGCCGUUCAAUACUGUGGUGCUGGAGGGUGUCAGAGGGAAGUAGAAUUCCUGGUGUAGCAGUGAAAUGCGUAGAUAUCAGGAGGAAUACCCGUGGCGAAGGCGGCUUCCUGGGACACAACUGACGCUGAGAAGCGAAAGCUAGGGGAGCAAAC